Molecule: ribosomal RNA, 563 nt
Filed under: Daphnia neosalinifera
Lineage: Eukaryota; Metazoa; Arthropoda; Branchiopoda; Diplostraca; Daphniidae
Description: partial 12S ribosomal RNA
Rfam family: Microsporidia small subunit ribosomal RNA (bases 195-563)
Source: RNAcentral
GGUUAGACGAAGAAUCUAAAUGGAAUAAUAUGUUAUCUUAGUUCACAGUAAAUAUCUUCAAAGUAAAAUACUCUCCUUUUUCUAGGUAAAAUUUAUAUAAAGGCGUCAAUCAUCCCAGGAUAUUUAGAGGGUCUAAAAAACGAAGAUAAAAAACCAGGAUUAGAUACCCUGUUAUUCUUCAUAAUAAACUAAUAGGGUAGUAAAAGUUAUUCUUCAAACCCAAAGAUUUUGGCGGCAUUCUAACCAAACAGAGGAGCUUGUCUUAUAAUCGAUAAUCCCCGUUAUAUCUUACCUUUAUUAAUUUAGCUUGUAUACCUCCGUUGUCAGAUUACUCCAAAAGGACGUUCUCUAGAAAAACCAUUUUUUUACUUCAGGUCAAGGUGCAGUUAAUGUAGAGGAAAUGAUGAGCUACAAUUUUUUAUAAAAUACGGAUUUCAAAUUAAAAUCUGAUUGAAGGUGGAUUUGUUAGUAAGCUUUUUAAAGAAAAAAAGGCUGAAUCAGGCAAUAGAAUGUGUACAUAUCGCCCGUCACUCUCUUUCCAAGAAGAGAUAAGUCGUAACAAA